This 444-nucleotide ribosomal RNA is filed under the name uncultured bacterium. Its description in RNAcentral is "partial 16S ribosomal RNA". It matches the Rfam family "Bacterial small subunit ribosomal RNA", at positions 338 to 795 of the family's 1533-position model. The record is from RNAcentral.
CCUACGGGUGGCUGCAGUGGGGAAUAUUGGGCAAUGGGCGCAAGCCUGACCCAGCAACGCCGCGUGAAGGAAGAAGGCUUUCGGGUUGUAAACUUCUUUUCUUAGGGACGAAGAAAGUGACGGUACCUAAGGAAUAAGCCACGGCUAACUACGUGCCAGCAGCCGCGGUAAUACGUAGGUGGCAAGCGUUAUCCGGAUUUACUGGGUGUAAAGGGCGUGUAGGCGGGACUGCAAGUCAGAUGUGAAAACCAUGGGCUCAACCUGUGGCCUGCAUUUGGAAACUGUAUAGCUUGAGUACUGGAGAGGCAGGCGGAAUUCCUAGUGUAGCGGUGAAAUGAGUAGAUAUUAGGAGGAACACCAGUGGCGAAGGCGGCCUGAUGGACAGAAACUGACGUUGAGGCUCGAAAGCGUGGGGAGCAAACAGGAGUAGAUACCCCUGUAGUC